UAGAGUGAUCGAAAGAUGAAAAGCACUUUGGAAAGAGAGUCAAAAAGUACGUGAAAUUGUUGAAAGGGAAGCGCUUGCAACCAGACCUGCCCGCGGGUGAUCAGCCGUCCUUCGGGGCGGUGCACUCGCCCGCGAUCAGGCCAGCAUCGGUUCGGGCGGCCGGAUAAAGGCCUUGGGAACGUGGCUCCCCUCGGGGAGCGUUAUAGCCCAGGGUGCAAUGCGGCCCGCCCGGACCGAGGACCGCGCUUCGGCUAGGAUGCUGGCGUAAUGGUUGUAAGCGGCCCGUCUUGAAACACGGACCAAGGAGUCGACCAACCGUGCGAGUGUUUGGGCGUCAAACCCACACGCGCAAUGAAAGUGAACGGAGGUGGGAACCCCUCGCGGGGCGCACCAUCGACCGAUCCAGAUGUCUUCGGAUGGAUUUGAGUACGAGCAUGGCUGGUCGGACCCGAAAGAUGGUGAACUAUGCCUGGAUAGGGUGAAGCCAGAGGAAACUCUGGUGGAGGCUCGCAGCGGUUCUGACGUGCAAAUCGAUCGUCAAAUUUGGGCAUAGGGGCGAAAGACUAAUCGAACCAUCUAGUAGCUGGUUCCAGCCGAAGUC
RNAcentral lists this ribosomal RNA (601 nucleotides) under Xanthoria parietina. Its description in RNAcentral is "partial large subunit ribosomal RNA". It matches the Rfam family "Eukaryotic large subunit ribosomal RNA", at positions 349 to 968 of the family's 3401-position model. Lineage: Eukaryota; Fungi; Ascomycota; Lecanoromycetes; Teloschistales; Teloschistaceae. The record is from RNAcentral.